UAAGCUAGGUGUCAGGUCUUUUUAUCCAUAGCGGUGUUGGUUGGGGAUCAGUAUGUUGUGCCUGGAAGUGGCAGCAUGUCAUUAAACAUCACUCACCCCUCUCCUCUAGAGGACAGUCAUCUGGUUCACCAUCUGUACCUGACCUCCUGCCUCUCAUGGAGGAGCUGCUGCUGCCUGGACCUGUUUCCAAAGGAGACACAUACAGGAGGACACUGAACUGACCUCCAAGACCAACAUCCUGCUGGACUCUCCGGUCUCCUGGAAACAGUCUUGCUCACUUACAGCAGUCAGAAGACCUCCAAGAAGAGUAAUCACUCAUCACCGUACCAUCACGUAUGACGGUACGGAGCGGCUAUGGGCUGAAACAGAAGUGUUGCUCCCACAGACUGAUGUCCAGCUGUUUGAUCCCAGCGGAGUCAUUGAGAAUCCAACGAUGACCUCAGCUUUGGGCCGUCUCACCUUGCAAGUGCUCAUCAAUGCCCCUCCCUCAGUAAAGAUCAGGAUCCAGGCUCUGCACAUGGGCCCCAUGGACAACAGCACAGCAGCCCAGUCCACCUUCAUUAUGGUGAGGGAAGAGGGAGACCGUUCUGUUUUGAUUCUUCAGUAUUUCAAUGCAAACUAUCUAGUUGAGUGUACAUUAAACAAUGAACCUUCAUCUUGACAUGUAUGCCAUUGUAAAAAACAUUAUGUCUCCAAUACCAUCUGCAUUACAUACGAGAUGUAGAUGUCUUGAAGACCAACAUGUUCAAGGGCCAACAGCUCUUUCACUAGCGCUCAGCUGGAAACAUGGCGGAGAUAGAAUUCCAUGGCAAGUACCUGCAUAGCAAGGCUUCCGAGCAAAAUACUCAUUUGUGGAGCCUUGAUCUGUGGCUCGUCUUUCUAUUAUACAGUAUUUAAUGACAUUUAGGCCGUUACUGGAGGACAGUUUUUCCUUAGUUUAAUCAAUAUUGUCAGGUUUUGCAACAUUAAAAUAAAUACUCAAAGUGUAAAUGAUUAUCAUUACAGCAGUCUUUGGAUUCGUUUUUUUAGUUGUAUAGAAAACAUUUACCAAUGUGAAUCACAGCAGAACCACUCAGCAAGUCAUUAUUAUGGCUCAUCUGGUAUAGUAUGGCACACAAUUUCAUUACUUAAAUAACUUAACUGUUGAACUGAUUAUUUUUAAAAUAUGAAAUAACAAGUAUGUAGGUAAACAAACGGAAUAAAUGCAUGUAAAAACCACCAGAAUAAUAUUUAAGACAGCACCAACAUGUGUAGACUUUAAAAAAAAA
Non-coding RNA from Oncorhynchus mykiss (rainbow trout), 1268 nucleotides. NCBI's taxonomy places the organism in Eukaryota, Metazoa, Chordata, Actinopteri, Salmoniformes, Salmonidae. The record is from RefSeq and is a predicted model, not a curated record.